This 404-nucleotide ribosomal RNA is filed under the name Fusobacteriota bacterium. RNAcentral describes it as "Fusobacteria bacterium partial 16S ribosomal RNA". It matches the Rfam family "Bacterial small subunit ribosomal RNA", at positions 355 to 776 of the family's 1533-position model. Lineage: Bacteria; Fusobacteriati; Fusobacteriota. The record is from RNAcentral.
UGGGGAAUAUUGCACAAUGGAGGGAACUCUGAUGCAGCGACGCCGCGUGAGUGAUGAAGGAAUUCGUUUCGUAAAACUCUGUUCUAUGGGAAGAAAAGGACUGUACCAUAGGAGAAAGCUCCGGCUAAAUACGUGCCAGCAGCCGCGGUAAUACGUAUGGAGCGAGCGUUGUCCGGAAUUAUUGGGCGUAAAGGGUGCGCAGGCGGCUUUACAAGUUGGAUGUGAAAUAUUGUGGCUCAACCACAAACGUGCAUCCAAAACUGCAAAGCUUGAGUUAAGGAGAGGUAAGUGGAAUUCCUGGUGUAGCGGUGGAAUGCGAAGAUAUCAGGAGGAAUACCGGUGGCGAAGGCGACUUACUGGACUUAAACUGACGCUCAGGCACGAAAGCGUGGGGAGCAAACAGG